UACGUAGGGGGCAAGCGUUGUCCGGAAUCAUUGGGCGUAAAGCGCGUGUAGGCGGCUUGGUAAGUCUGGUGUGAAACCUCGGGGCUCAACCCCGAGCCUGCACUGGAUACUGCCUCGCUCGAGUCCGGGAGGGGAGAGCGGAAUUCCUGGUGUAGCGGUGAAAUGCGCAGAUAUCAGGAGGAACACCAAUGGCGAAGGCAGCACUCUGGGACGUGACUGACGCUGAGACGCGAAAGCGUGGGGAGCAAACAGG
This 253-nucleotide ribosomal RNA is filed under the name uncultured bacterium. Its description in RNAcentral is "partial 16S ribosomal RNA". It matches the Rfam family "Bacterial small subunit ribosomal RNA", at positions 524 to 776 of the family's 1533-position model. The record is from RNAcentral.